GAUGAACGCUGGCGGCGUGCCUAACACGUGCAAGUCGAGCGAAUGGACGAGACGCUUGCCUCUCUGCUGUUAGCGGCGGACGGGUGAGUAACACGUGGCUAACUUACAUAUAAGAAUGGGAUACCUUCGGGAAACCGUAGAUCACAUAGGAUCAUAUUUUGAACCGCAUGGUUCAUCAGAGAACGACGGACCAGCUGAGACUAAUAGAUGGAACCGAGCUGCAUUAGCUAGUUGGUACGGUAACGGCUUACCAAGGCAACGAUGCAUAGCCGACCUGAGAGGAUGAUCAGCCACACUGGAACUGAGACACGGUCCAGACUCCUACGGGAGGCAGCAGUAGGGAAUCUUCCGCAAUGGGCGAAAGCCUGACGGAGCAACGCCGCGUGAGUGAUGAAGGUCUUCGGAUCGUAAAGCUCUGUUAGUAGGGAAGAACAGAAGUAAGAGUAUCUGUGGACAUCUUGACGGUACCUAAUCAGAAAGCCACGGCUAACUACGUG
This 497-nucleotide ribosomal RNA is filed under the name uncultured bacterium. Its description in RNAcentral is "partial 16S ribosomal RNA". It matches the Rfam family "Bacterial small subunit ribosomal RNA", at positions 28 to 507 of the family's 1533-position model. The record is from RNAcentral.